GACGAACGCUGGCGGCGUGCCUAACACAUGCAAGUCGAACGGACUUAGAGGUGCUUGCACCUCGAAAGUUAGUGGCGGACGGGUGAGUAACGCGUGAGUAACCUGCCUUACAGAGGGGGAUAACGUCUGGAAACGGACGCUAAUACCGCAUAACAUAUUGAUAUGGCAUCAUGUUGAUAUCAAAGGGAAUAACCGCUGUAAGAUGGACUCGCGUCUGAUUAGCUAGUUGGUAAGGUAACGGCUUACCAAGGCGACGAUCAGUAGCCGAACUGAGAGGUUGAUCGGCCACAUUGGGACUGAGACACGGCCCAGACUCCUACGGGAGGCAGCAGUGGGGGAUAUUGCACAAUGGGGGGAACCCUGAUGCAGCAACGCCGCGUGAGGGAAGAAGGUUUUCGGAUUGUAAACCUCUGUCUUUGGUGACGAUAAUGACGGUAGCCAAG
Molecule: ribosomal RNA, 443 nt
Filed under: uncultured bacterium
Lineage: Bacteria
Description: bacterial SSU rRNA
Rfam family: Bacterial small subunit ribosomal RNA
Source: RNAcentral